This 195-nucleotide ribosomal RNA is filed under the name uncultured bacterium. RNAcentral describes it as "partial 16S ribosomal RNA". It matches the Rfam family "Bacterial small subunit ribosomal RNA", at positions 334 to 524 of the family's 1533-position model. The record is from RNAcentral.
UACUCCUACGGGAGGCAGCAGAGAGGAAUAUUGGUCAAUGGUCGCGAGACUGAACCAGCCAAGUAGCGUGCAGGAUGACGGCCCUCUGGGUUGUAAACUGCUUUUAGUUGGGAAUAAAAGGCGGUACGUGUACCGCGUAUUGUAUGUACCAUCAGAAAAAGGACCGGCUAAUUCCGUGCCAGCAGCCGCGGUAAU